This 922-nucleotide ribosomal RNA is filed under the name bacterium enrichment culture clone L55B-59. Its description in RNAcentral is "bacterial SSU rRNA". It matches the Rfam family "Bacterial small subunit ribosomal RNA", at positions 8 to 916 of the family's 1533-position model. The record is from RNAcentral.
AGAGUUUGAUCAUGGCUCAGGACUAACGCUGGCGGCGUGCCUAACACAUGCAAGUCGAACGCAUCUGUGCUUCGGUACAGAUGAGUGGCGAACGGGUGAGUAACACGUGAGCAACUCCCCUUGGGGAGGGGGAUAACCAUCUGAAAAGGUGGCUAAUACCCCAUAUUCUCCUUUUUUGCCAAAGAAAGGAGGAAAGAUGGCGUAAGCUAUCACCCCGAGAGAGGCUCGCGUCCCAUCAGCUAGUUGGUAGGGUAAUGGCCUACCAAGGCUAUGACGGGUAGCUGGUCUGAGAGGAUGGUCAGCCACACUGGGACUGAGACACGGCCCAGACUCCUACGGGAGGCAGCAGUGAGGAAUCUUGGGCAAUGGGCGAAAGCCUGACCCAGCGACGCCGCGUGGAGGAAGAAGGCCUUCGGGUCGUAAACUCCUGUUCGGGGAGAAGAACAGGAGAGGAGUGAAUAACUUCUCUCCCUGACGGUAUCCCCGGAGAAAGCUCCGGCUAAUUACGUGCCAGCAGCCGCGGUAAUACGUAAGGAGCGAGCGUUGUCCGGAUUUACUGGGCGUAAAGAGCUCGUAGGUGGUUUCUUAGGUCUCACGUGAAAUUCCCUGGCUCAACUGGGGAGGGUCGUGGGAAACCGAGAAGCUAGAGGGCAGGAGAGGAGAGUGGAAUUCCCGGUGUAGCGGUGAAAUGCGUAGAGAUCGGGAGGAACACCAGUGGUGAAGACGGCUCUCUGGACUGUCCCUGACACUGAGGAGCGAAAGCCAGGGGAGCAAACCGGAUUAGAUACCCGGGUAGUCCUGGCUGUAAACGAUGGGUACUAGGUGGUGGGGGGGUUCGACCCCCUCCGUGCCGCAGUUAACGCAUUAAGUACCCCGCCUGGGGAGUACGGGCCGCAAGGUUGAAACUUAAAUGAAUUGACGG